Long non-coding RNA from Daphnia pulex (common water flea), 2944 nucleotides. RefSeq lists it as uncharacterized. The transcript has 12 exons. NCBI's taxonomy places the organism in Eukaryota, Metazoa, Arthropoda, Branchiopoda, Diplostraca, Daphniidae. The record is from RefSeq and is a predicted model, not a curated record.
AAAACAAAUAAUAUGAUUAUUCAAAAUCUUUGAUGGGAAGUUUUCUCUUCUUAAACAAUUUAUUCAGUUUGGAUCAUAAUGUCUGAUAUUUGAAAUUUGAGAUGUUUGAAAUUUCUAAAGUAAUGUGAAAUGGAAGUAAUUUUUGUCUCGAAUCUAUAGAUCCCUCACUUUCAAUGUAGUGACUAGUAUUCUGGAAAACCAUCAGUACACAACAAUGGUGUGGGUAAGAAUGACGAAGCACAUAUUGAAGAAGAAGAAGCACAGAGCUGAUACAUUCUCGUAGCCGCCAGUCCCGCCACUAUAUUGUUCAUCGUCCCGUCAAAGUAAAAAUAUUUAACUUGUUGUUUAAUCAUUGUUUUUUUUGUUUUUUUCAUAAUAGGAGAGAGAGGAAUCUGUCUGUUUGCACAGGACAUGCAACUUUUGUACAAACCAGUCUACACACAUCGAUGUCAACCCAUAUCAUCUAAAUAACCGGUUUUUGUAGGCAUAUUCGGCCAGCAGACGAAAAAACGAAGCAGACGGAUCCCUCAAUCACAAUAAACGAAAGAGGUUGUAGAGUUGGAAAAAAACCCCGAUCAAAUGCUGGCAUUAGCUCCAAGUUUUCGCGAUAGACUUCCGAAAGAAAGAAAGGGAACUGGAACGUUUGAAAAAAAGCUCGCAAAUUGAAGCUCAUGAAGGAUUUGACAGCUGAACUCAAAGAAGUGCAAGAGUAAUUCAAGAAGACUAAACGGAGGUGUCCGGUAUGGAGGGCAACAUCAAAACUAUAGCAAAAGAAGAGAAUGAAGUGUAUGUGGGCCGUAUUGAAGGAGAUGAGGAAAGUUCUGAUUGCCGCCGAACAUCACAGCUCGUUAACAGCUCGAUGCCGAUCAGCUUGCUUCGUUACGGCUAAAAGUGGGCAAAAAGGAGCAAGCUGUUGCGGAAGCUGAAACGCAGAUUGCCAUUCUAAAGCAAGAGACUCAAUCAUCGCCUUGGUCCUCCUGAAUCGAGUCAGCAAACAGUCUUUGCCUGUUCCUGUUCCUGCUGUCGUCUCCAUUACGAGGUGGCUGGGUGUGUCAAAGAAGUCCGAAGAUCAUUUGCAGCAGCACUGUGAGAAUCAAAACUUGAAACAUCGCGUUUUCCCAUUUGGAGAAUCAACUGCGUGCCUUCCAGGUAGACAAACUGGAAAAGCUAUGCCUACAACAGCAACUGCAACAAUUUCAAAAGGAAUUGGCUGAAGCCAAAGAAGCUCGGGUUGACAGCCGAUUAAGUUUGAUGGAGGAUCCACAAAAUUGUAUACCGAAAUACCGUCCGAAAUCUGCAUAAGUCAAGUGUCCUUGUUUGGUCGAAGUAUAGUGGCAACAAGGUCCGAAUGUCUCGUCUUCCGGACUGAUCAAAGAGGAGUCAGGAGUCAGCUGAUGGCGAAACAGACGUCAUCGCUUCCAGUCAUCUUAUCAACACAGCUGUCACAAAAAAUACAACGCUAAAAUACUAGAGUGCUCGCACCACGGAUCGCUAAAAUGAGUCUGAUUUGAAUGUGACAUCCUGCAUCCAUCAUCCAUGAUCCAUGGCAUUCUUUGUCAGCCUUUUGUCUUUCACGUUUCGUUGCAAUGUUAUGUGAUUUUUAAGCUUUUUGUAGUAUUUCGAUUUCAGAAUAAAUAUCGGAAAUCUUCUCUUAAUUGUUAUCGUAGAUAUUUUGUUAGCAAUAUGAUGUAAAGGUGUAACUCAUGUAAUAAAAAGGUACCCAAAUCUCCCACCAGAUGCUGUCGAUUAAUUCAUCAACAUCAACAAUGCAAUGGCCGCUUCCAUUCACGUUGAAUGUUAUUGGUGUGUCUUGAAAAGGUUAUUUAUUUAUCUUCAUUUAUCUCCAUUUAUUUCCAUUGUGAAAAACUACGUGUAAAGUGUUUAGUUCAUUUAAAACGAGGAUUCAGACAAUCAGUUCAUCAUCGUCUGGUGUACAAUUCAUAUCUUAUAGUAAAUUGUCCAAACGCCGUUUGAUGUUGAACACAUUUCCGUGAACAGAUCACAUUUUUUAGGAAUGGAUAUUGUGCAAGUGAAACUGGGAAGAAACAUAAAUUGUACUGGCAACUCCUCCCUAGUAUGAAAUGGAUCAACGGGCCACAGUUAACAACAACAACAAAGGAAUCAUUACUUCCCGGAUAUCGCGAGUCAGCCACAGGUGUCACUCAAUCUCCAACGCAGUUUCUUUAUUGAAAUUGUGUGGCCCUGGCACAGAGAUCCUUGACCCAAUGCUAGCCUUUGUCUAUGACAGAAGAGUGACUUCCACCAACGUUCUGCCGCAUCCUCAUCUUCGCGACGUACGCUCAUUUAGCUUCGCUGCUACUCGUGAUUUUACUCUUACUACUCGUGCUACACAACUUUUUUCUACUUCAAUGACGAGUUAAACCACUUCAAUGGUCGCUUCCGUCCACCGUGACCCACCUGAAGUCACUCACCACGGGAUUAUGCCCAGGAGAAAACGUAUUGAAAGAGUCGUGCAGCUCACUGCUGUCGUUCAAAAUCAUUGUAUUCUACUGAAUGUUCCAUCAAAAUGAAACAGGAUUCAUCAUAAUUGUCUGCUGUUUGUAUUGGACUUGCUAGAUCGCCAAUCCCAGCCAUGCCCCGAUUUUGAGUGUUCUUCAUUACAGGUUUCUAACACAUUGGCAUGACAGAUUUGAUGAGAAGUCAUAUUUUGAAGAAAAAGAACAAGGACAAUACAGUCAACAAGGUUCCUUGUUUGCUAACCCGUUGGAUGCUACCCUUCAAUCUCCCUGUUUACUUCCUUACACAGGUCCUAUUGAUUUGAGGGUAACUCUUUCGCUACUGAUCACAUCAACUGUUGUAAACUGAUGAGAGAAUGCUGCAAUUCAAGACUGAUACAUUGUGUAGUUGUUAUAGAUAAAUGACAAGUGCAUAUCUGGGCUCCCUCCUUUUCUGUGGCCCCGUUUCCCUAACUAACCACUAACCA